UUAAGCCUUCAAUUUAUGUUUUUUGUUCCUCCAGCAAAUUUCAAGGUUAAAAUUGAGCAAAUUCAAGGUUAAGAUAGGGUUCCUCUCACUCUAUGAAUCCGCCGGUGAUGGUAGCAAUGGGUUUUGGCCUUUCAGCUAAAGAACCGAUGUUUGUGCAAGAUUCUGAAUUUUCAGUUAUUAAAUGCAUUGGGCUCACUCAAGGCGCAUAGGCGUUGCCUGGGGCCUAGAAGAAAGUAGGAAAAAAAGCGAGGGGCUAAUAAAAGGCCUGUGCUCUACAAUUUUAACACCAUUAUUUGAAUUUAUACCUCAGGUAUGUAGACAAGAAUUUUUUUUGGGCAUUUAUGGGUGCAACAACUUUGUUUCCCGGUAUUGAAAUCGGUAUCCUUGUUGGGGUGAGCUACAGUUUCUGUAUUGCAUACUUCUUUUUGUGAUGGUUAUAAAGAAAAGCUAAAUAAGCGUUUGUGGGUCCGCCCAACCGGCCGUGCCACAUUCUAAAGACGGCUUGGUUGUGAAAUCUUGAAGAAGAUGUUUCUUUAUUAAUUUGAUUAUAGUUUAUAGCGAUGACGGAGUUAUAGCAUCCUUUAAUGUCCUAAACGGGGCGGUGAUUCCUUUCGGUCCGUGGAACCUGACGUGCAACGUGCGGCAUAAAAACAUAAAUAUCCGCGGCAACGCGCGGGCAUUCCCUUAUUUCAACUGUAAAAACUGAUUAGUUUUAAGUGAUGCAACAUCUCAAAGUGUUAGAAUGAUAGAUCUCUAUGUAAAAAGUAAAAAGUAAUUCGUUAGUCCUAAGGUUAAGAUUUGAUCCUAGAAAGGCAAUUAGAAAGUCUGGUAACACGAUGGAUGAGUCCCUAGAAAUUGCAUGGUAAUUCAUUGCAUUUAUAUCCUUUAGCAUUCAAAAUUCUUGUAGUUGUAUAAUUGAUAUACACGAUGGAUUUUUAUAUUCAUGUAUAUAGAACUUAGUAUGUUAUCUU
This 971-nucleotide long non-coding RNA is filed under the name Helianthus annuus (common sunflower). RNAcentral describes it as "sRNA HanXRQr2_Chr10g0422931". The record is from RNAcentral. Lineage: Eukaryota; Viridiplantae; Streptophyta; Magnoliopsida; Asterales; Asteraceae.